Molecule: unclassified non-coding RNA, 226 nt
Filed under: uncultured Elusimicrobia bacterium
Lineage: Bacteria; Pseudomonadati; Elusimicrobiota; Elusimicrobia
Description: contains 16S-23S intergenic spacer region
Source: RNAcentral
UCCUUCUUAUCGAAGGCAGUUUCUCAAGAGUGCAUCCCUUGCGGGAUUAGCAACAUGAGAUAGGGGUUGCGCUCGUUGCGGGACUUAACCCAACAUCUCACGACACGAGCUGACGACAACCAUGCAGCACCUCUGCUCGCUCCCUUGCGGGUCAGCCAAUGUUUCCACCGGCUUACCACGAGUAGUUCAAGCCCAGGUAAGGUGGGGAUGACGUGUAACCGAAUCU